CGACCAGGAGCCAAGAAAGACAAAGGGAACCCUUUUUCAUCAUCCCAAAUUCAGCAAUUGAAGCUCUAAUCUUGGCUAAUACUCAUGCAUGUCCUUGAUUUCUUAAUCAUCCAAGCAUGCUAAAGCACUAGGAGUUAAGGAAGAAAGUUCAAGUCGUGCUGGGAUACAAGCUAGCAACGACAAAGGUAAAGCUACUUGAUGGAUGGCAUGGUUGGACCGAACACACUUGUGAUGCACGCUUCCGCGAAGUCUCUAGUCAUGGUCUAAACUUUUGUUAAAUGUUUUCUUUCGUUAAAAACGGGCCUUUUGUAUGUAAGUUAACCCGGAAGUAGUUAGAUGUUGAACUUGUAGUCAAGAACUUGGUUAUAUUUUGUGAAAUGUUUGGGGUUUAAAACUUGUUCAUGACUAUAUAGUUGGUUAAUGUGAAAUUAAAUGCAAAAAUUUACUUAUGAA
Molecule: long non-coding RNA, 453 nt
Organism: Helianthus annuus (common sunflower)
Lineage: Eukaryota; Viridiplantae; Streptophyta; Magnoliopsida; Asterales; Asteraceae
Exons: 3
Source: RefSeq, a predicted model, not a curated record